Molecule: long non-coding RNA, 1268 nt
Organism: Ornithorhynchus anatinus (platypus)
Lineage: Eukaryota; Metazoa; Chordata; Mammalia; Monotremata; Ornithorhynchidae
Exons: 4
Source: RefSeq, a predicted model, not a curated record
UUAACAAGCACUAGGAAGAAAGGGAGAAAGCUUUUAGCCGAAAGGCAAAAGCAGCACUUUUUUUUUUUUUAUUAUUUAAUGGAAUUUAAAGAUAGUCCAGGCCGAGGAAGUGAGCGAAUACAAGGUGAGGGGGUGGGAAGGAUAUGGAAAGCUCCGGCUUUUCAUAACAUUCCUCCCACGGAAGGACGGUUGGGAUGGGAGAGGCGGCGUGCCCUGCCAGCCUCUGACAGCUGCACCGUGUGGGUGCCGGGGUGGGCGGCCCGCUGUGGGAAGCCCUUCUGAUCCGGAAGGAUCCCCCCAACCUCCUCCUCCUCCUGCCACCUCAGUCUGCUCUCUUGCCUUCUCCCUGAGCCUGGAGUCUCUAAGUGGCCCCGAGGAUGUCUUCUAGCAAAAGCAUGAGUUUCCUGGGCGGAAAGAGCAGCCUGACAGGUUGGAGAAACCAAGACGUGCAUCAUGUUAUGAACUGGUGAAUAGCCAGAGGAAUGAAGAAUUUUAGCUCAAGUUCCCUAAAACCAGCAAUCUCGGCAAUUUUUGCACACACCCCACAGCGCUUGGCCGACUUCUCGCCCGCUCCAGAGGAUCUUCGUUCGGGAAACGGAGAUUAAGUGGCCUGCCGAUGGUCAUGGAUCAUGUCAACGGCGCGGGUGGGAUUAGAUCCUUAAAUCCCCACCCAAGGUGGAGAUGGGCUCCGGGGAUGCUUGGUAAUCGGAACCCUCGGCCGGGAUGGAUCCUCCUCCAGCCACCUGGAUCCUCGGAAGAACUCUCAUCGGGCAGAAAAAGGAGAGCUCUUCAGAGAUCGCUUGGAGCUUUUGUUCUUUUUCACACAAAGUCCCGUCCCCCAGACACUAAGCCCGGCUGGAAGUCCAUGUCAAGGACAGCAGAGGGGUAGGAGAAGACUGUAAAGCCACAAUCAGUGAAUCAAUCAAUCAGAUUUGAGGAUGUUUAUAGCGUACAGAGCUCCGUAUCAAGUAUUUGGGUGAGUACGCUGUAACAAAGUUGUAAGACACAUUCCCUUCCAACCGUGAGCUUACGGUCCGCUCAGAAAAACAUACAAGAGUCAGAAUUCCUUCUUCUAUGUGAAAAUUUGCCCACUCCACUACUUAGUGCAGUGUCGGCCACAUAGCGCUUAACAAAUACAAUUUUUUAAAAAUCUUGAAUGUAUUUGUCAAAGGGUGUAUGGUUGCUAGUCCUCCUCUAGGAUGUAAACUCAUUAUGGGCAGGGAAUGUGUCCACUGGUUCUGUUGUAUUGUACCCUAAUAAAAAUAAUA